AGUGAACGCUGGCGGUAGGCCUAACACAUGCAAGUCGAACGGCAGCACAGUAAGAGCUUGCUCUUACGGGUGGCGAGUGGCGGACGGGUGAGGAAUACAUCGGAAUCUACUUUUUCGUGGGGGAUAACGUAGGGAAACUUACGCUAAUACCGCAUACGACCUACGGGUGAAAGCAGGGGAUCUUCGGACCUUGCGCGAUUGAAUGAGCCGAUGUCGGAUUAGCUAGUUGGCGGGGUAAAGGCCCACCAAGGCGACGAUCCGUAGCUGGUCUGAGAGGAUGAUCCGCCACACUGGAACUGAGACACGGUCCAGACUCCUACGGGAGGCAGCAGUGGGGAAUAUUGGACACUGGGCGCAAGCCUGAUCCAGCCAUACCGCGUGGGUGAAGAAGGCCUUCGGGUUGUAAAGCCCUUUUGUUGGGAAAGAAAAGCAGCAGGUUAAUACCCCGCUGUUCUGACGGUACCGAACGAAUAAGCACCGGCUAACUUCGUG
Molecule: ribosomal RNA, 492 nt
Filed under: uncultured bacterium
Lineage: Bacteria
Description: partial 16S ribosomal RNA
Rfam family: Bacterial small subunit ribosomal RNA
Source: RNAcentral